Molecule: ribosomal RNA, 960 nt
Filed under: uncultured bacterium
Lineage: Bacteria
Description: bacterial SSU rRNA
Rfam family: Bacterial small subunit ribosomal RNA
Source: RNAcentral
AGAGUUUGAUCCUGGCUCAGAAUCAACGCUGGCGGCGUGCCUAACACAUGCAAGUCGAACGCGAAAGUCCCUUCGGGGGCUAGUAGAGUGGCGUCCGGGUGAGUAACACGUAGGUAAUCUACCUUCGGGUGGGGAAUAACUCGCCGAAAGGCGAGCUAAUACCGCAUAAUGCAGCGGCACCUAAUGGUGAUUAGUUGUUAAAGCGGGGGAUCGCAAGACCUCGCGCCUGAAGAGGAGCCUGCGGCCGAUUAGCUAGUUGGUGAGGUAACGGCUCACCAAGGCUGCGAUCGGUAGCUGGUCUGAGAGGACGGCCAGCCACACUGGCACUGACACACGGGCCAGACUCCUACGGGAGGCAGCAGUGGGGAAUUUUGGGCAAUGGGCGCAAGCCUGACCCAGCAACGCCGCGUGAGGGAGGAAAUCCUUCGGGAUGUAAACCUCGCAAGCAGGGGAAGAGCGCUUCUUUUCUAAUACAAGAGAAGUCCGACGGUACCCUGCGUAAGCCACGGCUAACUACGUGCCAGCAGCCGCGGUAAUACGUAGGUGGCAAGCGUUGUUCGGAAUUAUUGGGCGUAAAGGGCGCGUAGGCGGCUUGUUAAGUCGGCUGUGAAAGCCCGGGGCUCAACCCCGGAGGGUCGGCCGAUACUGGCGAGCUAGAGUACGGAAAAGGUAGCUGGAAUUCCUGGUGUAGCGGUGAAAUGCGUAGAUAUCACGAGGAACACCUGAGGCGAAGGCGGGCUACUAGGCCGAUACUGACGCUGAUGCGCGAAAGCCAGGGGAGCAAACGGGAUUAGAUACCCCGGUAGUCCUGGCCCUAAACGAUGGACACUUGGUGUGUCGGGUAUUAUGGUCCCGGCGUGCCGGAGCUAACGCGUUAAGUGUCCCGCCUGGGGAGUACGGUCGCAAGGCUGAACUCAAAGGAAUUGACGGGGACCCGCACAAGCGGUGGAGCAUGUGGUU